GUCCACGCCCUAAACGAUGUCAACUGGUUGUUGGGAGGGUUUCUUCUCAGUAACGAAGCUAACGCGUGAAGUUGACCGCCUGGGGAGUACGGCCGCAAUGUUGAAACUCAAAGGAAUUGACGGGGACCCGCACAAGCGGUGGAUGAUGUGGUUUAAUUCGAUGCAACGCGAAAAACCUUACCUACCCUUGACAUGUCUGGAAUCCCGCAGAGAUGUGGGAGUGCUUGAAAGAGAACCAGAACACAGGUGCUGCAUGGCCGUCGU
Molecule: ribosomal RNA, 264 nt
Filed under: uncultured bacterium
Lineage: Bacteria
Description: partial 16S ribosomal RNA
Rfam family: Bacterial small subunit ribosomal RNA
Source: RNAcentral